UAAUACGUAGGGUGCGAGCGUUGUCCGGAAUUACUGGGCGUAAAGAGCUCGUAGGUGGUUUGUCGCGUUGUUCGUGAAAACUAGAGGCUUAACCUCUGGCGUGCGGGCGAUACGGGCAGACUGGAGUACUGCAGGGGAGACUGGAAUUCCUGGUGUAGCGGUGGAAUGCGCAGAUAUCAGGAGGAACACCGGUGGCGAAGGCGGGUCUCUGGGCAGUAACUGACGCUGAGGAGCGAAAGCGUGGGGAGCGAACAGG
This 256-nucleotide ribosomal RNA is filed under the name uncultured bacterium. Its description in RNAcentral is "partial 16S ribosomal RNA". It matches the Rfam family "Bacterial small subunit ribosomal RNA", at positions 521 to 776 of the family's 1533-position model. The record is from RNAcentral.